AUUAUAUAAGAUUUCUAUCAGAUUUCUAUAAAUUUUUAUCAUUUUUUAUCGAAUUUUUUAACCAAGGGGCAGCGUAUAAUAGUGCAGCAGUCAAACAUGGUGAAUCCAGCAAAGUACAUUUCUUCAAAUGAGAUGCAAAAACGCGCCGUAUUGACAGUAAUAAAAGAGUUUACCAAACAUUUAAAAAGUAUAUCUGGGAUAUGUAUGGAUGUUGGUUGUGGUCCCGGAGACAUAACAAAUAAUAUCCUUCUACCAUCUCUUGAUUCAAAUUCUGUAAUAAUAGGAAAGUAUUUGAGAAUAUAUACUGCAUGCUUCAAUCUGGUGGAAGUAUGCUUGUACUGGUUCCAGCAUCUCAUCAUAUAAUAUUUGAAGUGCUUAAGAAUAUUGCGCAUAAUUCCCGUUUUGCGCCUUACUUACAACUUCAUGUAUGUCCGUUUGUACUUUUUUGGAUGUAAUACCGCUUGAACUACAGGAAGAAUUCGAAGUUAAAUUUCGACGUGAAUAUAAAAAUUACAAAAUUAAAUUGUACGGUAAUAAAAAUUGUAAUAUGAAAGAUCCAAUGUUAGAUGUGCACAAAUUAUUAAUAGCUUACGCACAAAAACAAUAAUUAUUAAACAAUAAUUAUAUAA
Molecule: unclassified non-coding RNA, 629 nt
Filed under: Acromyrmex echinatior (Panamanian leafcutter ant)
Lineage: Eukaryota; Metazoa; Arthropoda; Insecta; Hymenoptera; Formicidae
Description: uncharacterized LOC105152338, transcript variant X1
Source: RNAcentral